GAUGAAGAACGUAGCAAAAUGCGAUAAGUAAUGUGAAUUGCAGAAUUCAGUGAAUCAUCGAAUCUUUGAACGCACAUUGCGCCCGCCAGUAUUCUGGCGGGCAUGCCUGUUCGAGCGUCAUUUCAACCCUCAAGCCCCCGGGCUUGGUGUUGGGGAUCGGCGUGCCCUCGCGGCGCGCCGUCCCCUAAAUCUAGUGGCGGUCUCGCUGUAGCUUCCUCUGCGUAGUAGCAACACUCGCACUGGAUCGCAGCGCGGCCACGCCGUUAAACCCCCCACUUCUGAAAGUUUGACCUCGGAUCAGGUAGGAAUACCCGCUGAACUUAAGCAUAUCAAUAAGCGGAGGA
This 344-nucleotide unclassified non-coding RNA is filed under the name soil metagenome. RNAcentral describes it as "partial contains 5.8S ribosomal RNA, internal transcribed spacer 2, and large subunit ribosomal RNA". The stretch from base 1 to 120 matches the Rfam family "5.8S ribosomal RNA", at positions 35 to 154 of the family's 154-position model. The record is from RNAcentral.